RNAcentral lists this ribosomal RNA (440 nucleotides) under uncultured bacterium. Its description in RNAcentral is "partial 16S ribosomal RNA". It matches the Rfam family "Bacterial small subunit ribosomal RNA", at positions 338 to 795 of the family's 1533-position model. The record is from RNAcentral.
CCUACGGGUGGCAGCAGUGGGGAAUAUUGCACAAUGGGCGAAAGCCUGAUGCAGCAACGCCGCGUGAAGGAAGAAGGGUUUCGGCUCGUAAACUUCUAUCAGCAGGGAAGAAGAUGACGGUACCUGAAUAAGAAGCCCCGGCUAACUACGUGCCAGCAGCCGCGGUAAUACGUAGGGGGCAAGCGUUAUCCGGAUUUACUGGGUGUAAAGGGAGCGCAGACGGCAGUGCAAGUCUGGAGUGAAAGCCCGGGGCCCAACCCCGGAACUGCUCUGGAAACUGUGCGGCUAGAGUACUGGAGGGGCAGGCGGAAUUCCUAGUGUAGCGGUGAAAUGCGUAGAUAUUAGGAGGAACACCAGUGGCGAAGGCGGCCUGCUGGACAGUAACUGACGUUGAGGCUCGAAAGCGUGGGGAGCAAACAGGAUUAGAUACCCGAGUAGUC